GUGUGUGGUCAAUGUGUGGGUCAGGUGUGGGCAAGUGUGGGUCAGUGUUGGUCAAUGUGGGUCAAUGGUGUCAAUGUGUGGCAAUGUGUGUCAGUGUGUGGUCAGUGGUGGCGUCAAUGUGUGGGUCAAUGUGUGGGUCAGUGUGUGGGUCAAUGUGUGGGUCAAUGUGUGGGUCAGUGUGUGGGUCAAUGUGUGGGUCAAUGUGUGGGUCAAUGUGUGGGUCAUAUGUGGCUCAGUGUGUGGUCAAUAUGUGGCGUCAGUGGUGGUGUCAAAUAUGUAGGGUUCAGAU
This 289-nucleotide long non-coding RNA is filed under the name Coturnix japonica (Japanese quail). Its description in RNAcentral is "lncRNA (ENSCJPG00005001997.1)". The record is from RNAcentral. Lineage: Eukaryota; Metazoa; Chordata; Aves; Galliformes; Phasianidae.